GAACAAUCAGUCCCUAAGCCACUUGUAUUCCAUGUCUUUUAAGCCUUUGUCUUAGUGGCAAUUUCUUAGUUUCCCUUUAUCAAACACUUUUUUGUUAUAUACAGUUAUUUCUAGACAGAAAAUAAUUUCACUUUAUCUUUGAUAACUUUAUGAUAUCUGCAUUUUCCUGUGUAUGCAUUUAUACAUAUGUCCAGAACCCAGUGGAUCCUGGAGCCCACCUACAACCUGCACAAGACCAGGCCACUGCAGGCUCAGGCAAGAACUACACAACUCAGGUACCUCUGUGCAUUGUCAUCUUGGUGGCAAGUGCUGAAAGGCUCUUACUUAUUCUUGUGAGAAUCCCCCAAGGCACAGUGUGUUGGAAGAAGCAUUUAGCUGUAAAUAGGGUCUUUCCCCACAUGUGCAUGCCUGUUUGCUGCUGUCUGAGUAGCAAGACAUUAUUGCUUUGUUUCAAAGCCAUAGUUGAGGAGCACAACAAAUCAUUAAGUGCUUCUGUUGCACCCCAAAGCUUGGUAGUACCCAGACAGUUGCCUCCCCAAAGCCAGACUUUAUGGCUCAAACACACAUGUUGUGCAGAAAAAGCUCUGAAUAAACUGUCAGAUUUGAAACCAAACACUUCCACACCUAGCCUACACUGUAAAUCAAGCUUUGGUGCUACUUUCCAAUCAGUUCCAUUACACAAGUAGUUUGAUUUAAUUCAAAUGUUUUAUGGCAAAGAUGUAUUUUAGCUAAAAUGGUAUAUUUGCAUGGAGUGGGGGUUAAAACUGGACAAUUUUAUUCAUGAAGUGAAAGGCUACAAGAUGGUAAGAGACAGGUAUAGGAGUGCAGGUGCAGUACCAAAUCCCUACCUGGCUGUCUCAGUACCUGGGCUUGGUGCCUCGAUUCCCUCAUGUUCAGCUCUGCAGCAGCCCCACAAUGUAUCAGAACUUCCUUUGAAGGCUUUCACUUUUCAUAUCAAAAAAAAACCAAACAUUUCCAUUAAUGUAUGCAAAAUUUUGCCCUUCUGAGGGUGAAGAGAGCCAGCACCCAAGCCUACUGUAUCAUCCUUAUUUCCCAGAAAUAAUAAUUCACCAUUAAAAUUAUUAAAGAGUAAAUGGCUGAGAUGCGUAAGCUCAAAAUUGAAGUAUUUCCUUUGAUCGUUUAAAAAUCUCUGCUUUAAUUUGAGUAACAUAUAUAUUUUUUUCCUUUUACAGUUUUGAAUGCUGCAUCUUACCAUAUGUGAAAUGUUUCUUAAAGGUGUCAAAGUGACUUGCCAUGGGUUUGGAAUGAGAACUAAAUUAAAUGUCCAUACUGUAGCAUACUUAUAUAAAUAAUGAGAUAUUCCAGUAUAAACCAUUCAUUUGGCAGUCAUUUCUACAUCAGCAACUACUAAGUGCUAUAGAAUUCCUGCCUAACUUUGACACAUGCAAAGAAAAUCAGGAAGGAAAAUGUGUGAGUAUGUUUGUAUUUUAUAGAAAAAGACAGCCUCUUGUAUUCCAUUGCCACGAAAGUAUUUCUAACAUUUUUGGAAAUAGUGCAAGAGGUUUAAGAAAAUUCUCUGGAUUCACAGCAGAAUGAUGGAGCAUUCAACUGCCUCAAACCACACUCCAAAAUUUGUUUCCAUAAUUUAGAAACAGAGAGGGUGGGAAUGGUUAACAAAGUCAUUAAUGAGUGCCAAGAGUGAUUUAUUAUGGGUGAUAUAGUUUCUUUGCUUUUAAGAAAAAUAUAUUAAAUAAAAAUUCUUCAUAAAAUAAGAAUUCUUUCCUAUUGAACCUUGCACAGAAUUUGCUUUAUUAGUGUAUUAUAUCACCACAUUGCCAGGUCUGGCAUUUCUCAUACAAAUGAUGUCUCAAAGUGCUAGCAAACUUGUGAACUGCAGUGCAAACCAUGUUAGGAAUAAAGCUUGUACAGAAAGACAACAGUAGCAAAGAUCCUUUUUGCUGGGGUUCUGGAGAUAGUUAACACUCUAGGACCCUUUUAUUUUUCAUAAGCUGCACAAGCUUGUGUCACUCUAGACUAACAAUAAUCAACACUUGAUACUGGAUAUUUAGAUCCAAUCUUUCCAAAAGCCUAACUGCUUUAGGCCAGUUUUUAGGUUGCAAAUCUUUUUCAUGUGGAGAUACAUGCAAAUAUAAUUUUAAAGAACUUGUGGUCAGUGAACCUUGUUGUCUAGCUGGAUUUUGUCUCAAGAAGCAUCAGGUAACUGUUAAAAUAGCAUCCAGAUUAGUUGGCAGCAGGCCUAGGGAUUGAUCCUGCACCUAUUGAAGGAAGUGCUCCAGGUUCCCAGUCUGCCAGAGGCAUGCAGUCUGGCCCAUAGGGACCAUGGACCUUUCUUAUCAGUAAGGUUUGAUGGGUUUAAGUCUGUAACAUGUUGGUUGGGAUGUGAGAGGGGACGUUUGCUGGCACCAGACAUGGAGUAGCUGUCUAUCUGUCUGUCCUUUUAUUUGCACAUGAUUCAUCUUCAAAAACUUUCACCAAUGCCUUGAAUGAUCCCUGAAAUCUCUCAGGAUUAAGAAAUAAAAAAAAAAACAAACUAUUCCAAUGUUUGUAUAUGCUGUGGUGACUUAAAAGAUUAAUAUCAUUUGGCAAAUGAUGGUGUCAAAGUUCAUAAAUGUAGCUAAUGGGUAUUCAGCAUGUAGCUUUUCAAAGGCUGCUCCAUGUUAAUACAGAAGUGUUUCUAAGUAAUUUAUGGGCACAAUACUGUUAUCUUCAAAACUAUAGUUAGUUAUGUGAAAUCACAGACUUUCAACAAAUAACUUGAUCUAGUGUCAAUCUUCAUUUAAUCAUGCAAAAUAAGACUGUUUCACAUUUUUGUUGCAACCAAUAGCUGAAGCUUACAGGCAGAAAGCGAAAGUUGUGUUACACUCUUUACAACCCCAUUCUCAGUCUGUCAUGAAGAGAAAAAAUCUGUCUUUCUGUGGUAGAGUACAAGGAACAGCAGAGUCCCAGCAAGGGUAUUGGUGUGCCUCCGCUACCCACCCAUGAUCUGGGUUACACCUACAACGUACAGAAGUACAUGAUGGCAAUGCACUUCCUUAGCAAAAUAUAUGCCUGUCCUGUAAUACAAUAUUUUUAAAGGUGUUUAGGCACCUUGUUCUGUGUAAUAUUAUACAGGAAAUUCAGGCUUCCCAAGAUGAAUCUAAAAUAUUGGUUACUGUUUCUUGGAGCUACAUUGUUAGCCAGGCACCCCAGACCAUUUGAGAGAGUAAGAACAUGGAUUUUGACUAGAUGUUAAUCUGGACUCUAGAGAAAAGCAAAUAUUCACUUCUUACAUGCUCUUCAGCACCCUUCCAAUAACAGCAGGAUUUUUUUCCUUCCAUCUGCUAAGGAUAAUUUACUGACAGCUUAUUGCUCACUUGGCCAUGGGUUGUGUAGAUUUCAUUAAUUAAACAUCUAUUUCUGUAAAGAUUUUAAACUUGUAUGAAGCAACAAAAUUGCUCUAGGUUUUUUGCUUAAAAUCCUCUCUGACAAGCAGUCUCACUAAGUAUUUCCUGAGCUAAACUCUGCUCCUCUGGCUUAAGAGUAUGUAUCAAUAACUCAGGGGUACAAAUGUGCCAAGGGGUUGCAAUUAUCCUCAAAACAAACAUUG
Oxyura jamaicensis (ruddy duck) is the source of this 3568-nucleotide long non-coding RNA. RefSeq lists it as uncharacterized. The record is from RefSeq and is a predicted model, not a curated record. Lineage: Eukaryota; Metazoa; Chordata; Aves; Anseriformes; Anatidae. The transcript is spliced from 2 exons.